Molecule: transfer RNA, 74 nt
Filed under: Desulfuromonas sp. SDB
Lineage: Bacteria; Pseudomonadati; Thermodesulfobacteriota; Desulfuromonadia; Desulfuromonadales; Desulfuromonadaceae
Also listed under: 2 other names
Description: tRNA-Val
Rfam family: tRNA
About the family: Transfer RNA (tRNA) molecules are approximately 80 nucleotides in length.
Source: RNAcentral
GGGCGAAUGGCUCAGGUGGUUAGAGCGCCGGUUUCACAUACCGGAGAUCAGAGGUUCAAGUCCUCUUUCGCCCA